RNAcentral lists this ribosomal RNA (592 nucleotides) under Cosmetira pilosella. RNAcentral describes it as "partial 16S ribosomal RNA". It matches the Rfam family "Bacterial large subunit ribosomal RNA", at positions 1833 to 2597 of the family's 2925-position model. Lineage: Eukaryota; Metazoa; Cnidaria; Hydrozoa; Leptothecata; Mitrocomidae. The record is from RNAcentral.
GCCCCAGAAAAAAUCUGAGGUGUAACCUGCCCAGUGGUUUCUAAUAAAAGAAGUAAAAGCUCUAUAAAGAAACUAAAAGGACGCGGUAACCUUGACCGUGAUAAUGUAGCAUAAUCACUCGCCAUUUAAUUGGUGGAUAGUAUGAAUGGUUGAACGAAUAUUCCACUGUCUUAGAGAGAAUCACAAGAAAUUGAAAUAAUAGUUAAGAUGCUAUUUUUUACUGUAAGACGAAAAGACCCUAUAGAGCUUAACUAUAAUCUCUUUAUAAUAAAAGAAAAAACAUUCUAUAAAUAAAGAGAUUGGUAGUUUAGUUGGGGCGACUGUCUUUUAUAUAAAACAAAGACAAGCAAUGUUAAUAAAAAACUUAUUGUAUAACAAAAAUGUUUAACAAUUAUUAAAAUAGGCUAUAAUGACCCGUUAUUACUUUAUAAAAAGAAUAACGAUCAAUUAAUAAAAGCUACCUUAGGGAUAACAGGAUAAUUUCAUUUUAGAGUUCCCAUCGAAAAUGAAGUUUGUCACCUCUAUGUUGAAUUAAGAUAUCCUGAUAAUGCAGCAGUUAUCAAAGGUAGGUCUGUUCGACCUUUAAAAUCUU